This 254-nucleotide ribosomal RNA is filed under the name uncultured bacterium. RNAcentral's name for it is "partial 16S ribosomal RNA". It matches the Rfam family "Bacterial small subunit ribosomal RNA", at positions 524 to 776 of the family's 1533-position model. The record is from RNAcentral.
UACGUAGGGACCGAGCGUUGUCCGGAUUCAUUGGGCGUAAAGAGCUCGUAGGCGGCCACUCAAGUCGAAUGUGAAACCUCGAGGCUUAACCUCGAGCCUGCAUUCGAUCACUGGGCGGCUAGAGUCUGGUAGGGGGAUCUGGAAUUCCUGGUGUAGCGGUGGAAUGCGCAGAUAUCAGGAGGAACACCGGUGGCGAAGGCGGGAUCCUGGGCCAGUACUGACGCUGAGACGCGAAAGCGUGGGGAGCGAACAGG